GGUGAACGCUGGCGGCGUGCCUAAUACAUGCAAGUCGAGCGAACAGACGAGGAGCUUGCUCCUCUGACGUUAGCGGCGGACGGGUGAGUAACACGUGGAUAACCUACCUAUAAGACUGGGAUAACUUCGGGAAACCGGAGCUAAUACCGGAUAAUAUAUUGAACCGCAUGGUUCAAUAGUGAAAGACGGUUUUGCUGUCACUUAUAGAUGGAUCCGCGCCGCAUUAGCUAGUUGGUAAGGUAACGGCUUACCAAGGCGACGAUGCGUAGCCGACCUGAGAGGGUGAUCGGCCACACUGGAACUGAGACACGGUCCAGACUCCUACGGGAGGCAGCAGUAGGGAAUCUUCCGCAAUGGGCGAAAGCCUGACGGAGCAACGCCGCGUGAGUGAUGAAGGUCUUCGGAUCGUAAAACUCUGUUAUUAGGGAAGAACAAAUGUGUAAGUAACUAUGCACGUCUUGACGGUACCUAAGCAGAAAGCCACGGCUAACUACGU
Molecule: ribosomal RNA, 496 nt
Filed under: uncultured bacterium
Lineage: Bacteria
Description: partial 16S ribosomal RNA
Rfam family: Bacterial small subunit ribosomal RNA
Source: RNAcentral